CAAGGAGGAGCAACUUCCUGGGCAUGCGUGUUAAGAGACAAAAUCGUGGAGUAUGGCCUUCUGGGGGCACAUUGCCGGGUGAGGGAAGAAAGCCUCAGAUGGGAAUGGAUAUAACUUCCUAAACACACCGUGCAUGCUCACUUCCUAAAGGAUGGAUAAAGCAACUUGGAACCAAUUAAAAAUAGCUGGGUCUGGUGUCAGGCGACGUGGAUCACAUCAUUUCACCUGUCUCAGCCUCAGUAAUCACUUAGAGAUCCCAUAGCUAAAGGCUUAUAGGCAGAAUGGACUUGCCUUGUCUCAGAUGAGACUUUGGACUUGGAAUUUUGGGUUAAUGCUGGAAUGAGAAGACUUUGGGAGACUGUCGGAAAGAAGGCAGUGAAUGGAUGACCUACUGAAAAUAUCAUUCGUGAGAAGACAACAUUUAAUGCACUGGACCAUGAAGAGUUUGCUAUACUUAGCAAAAAAAAAAAUAACACUCCCAGGGCUGUAUCCUUACUGAUGAUGAAAAGGCAAGUCUGUAUGCUGAAAAUGCUGACAUUCCAGACAGAUGGAUGUCUUAUUUCAAAGUUCUCCUGAACAAGCCAUGAAGAACAGCAUUAGCUGACCCUCAGGGUGUGAUUGACUUUGCUACACAGAGCAGCAAGAGUGACCUCAAUUCCAUAUCCAUCAGUGAGAUUUAUGACUCAAUUGUAAAAAGCAAAAAAUGCAUUAAAUGCUAAUGGAAUAUACAAUGAAAAUCUUAUAAGAAAUAUACACAUGCAUGAUGCAUGCACACAUGUAUGUACAUGGAUAUAUUCGAUUGUAGCUUUGCCAGGAAGAAGAGCCACUGGUGUAUGAAUCUUCCUGAUCCAGAAGUGUUUGAAAAUUAUGAGGAAAAAUGUAUUUUAAAAUCAUGGCCUCAUCUUCCUUUUGAUGCUUGUAAUGAUCUUGAAAAAUUCUCUUAAUGUUUUUUGUUGAGGAGUAAGUCUGAGUAGGUUGGAUUUAUGCAUAAUCAUUUUAUGGUUGAGCAAAGUUUUAUGUUCCUCUACAGCCAUCCAAGAGAGACUGGGAUUUCUUCCAGGGCUAUCCCAGGCUUCAUUAAUUUUAAGGCCACCUUCAAAUACACAGAUCAUAGUUACUUAAGAAGAAUUCUUAUACCAUAAGGACAAAUAAAUUUUCUAUUGGAUAUUCAUGCAUUUGAUUCUAUUCCAAAAAAUAUUGGGUAUAUUUUCUGAAAUUCUGGGGACCGAUGCCAAAUUGAACACAUUCAAAGAUGGGAUAAUCUAGCUUAGGAAUAGUUUAUGCAAAAAACAUUUGAGUUUAUUCUUCAUCAUUUUUUUCCUAUUGGAGUUAAAAUAAUAACAGAAGACUUGAAUAAUGCCAUUUGCAGCUUAAAGUCAGAAGUAGAAAUUGGGGUUAGAAUCAGGUAUCUAAUAGUCUAAAACCUCUGGUCUUAUAUCCACAGAACUCGGAAAAAAAAGAUAAAGAAAAUUUAUUUUUUCUUGACAAAGAAUUUUGGUUUAUAGAAUGUUAGGCUUUCAUGGAGCCUGAAAAUCACCAGCUCCCACCUCACCCCAUCUCCCAUAUCUCUCAUGGUAUUUUUGUCAUAUGAUCAUUCAUCCAACCUCUGCCUUAUAUCCUAGGCAGUUCCACAGUUGGAAAGAUCUAGUGGCUGAAAUUGUUGAUAUGGAGACAAAACUUCCUCCCCAAAGUGCUUAUUAAUUGUUUCUGGAUCUAUCUCUGAAUAGGAGAGAAGAUUUGUUCCUCUUGUUGACUGACUGUUUUUAUCCAUUUUAGGAAAGCGAUUGUGCUCUUCCCCGGUCUUGUUCAGGCUAAGCAGAGUUAAACCCACAAACUUUGGAGUCCAAUAGAGAUAAGAUUCCUCCUUGCCCUUCCUAUUUUUGUGAUCUUAUUGAACCAUUCUUAGUUUCCCUUUCUGUAAAAUAGCGAUGAAGCAACUGACCUUCCGUAGCUCUGAGGAUUAAAUAACAAUGCAGGCUCUUGACAGAUGUUAGCUACUAUUUUUAUUUUUUUCAACUAUUCUUAUGUAACAUAAAUCCUUAAGAGCUAGAAUAGAUACAGAUAAAUUUGAUUUGAAUCCAUUUUUUUUAAAGCAAAUACGUAAUUCCCGGAAAUUUCUGGAAGUGUGUGUGUGUCUGUGUCUGGGUCUGCAUCUGUGUGGGGUGCAGUUGUGUUUCUCUGGCAUCUCUGGCUCUGGCAUUUUGUCUCCACUUAAGUUUUGCUUUUUGUUUUGUCUUUAUUCCUAGAUAGUCAAUCUAAACAUGAAGUUUAACCUCUUUGAUCUGAUGCACACCCACACGCAGGCACGUGCAGGCAUGUGCGCACACACACACACACACAUCCACACACACACACACCCAUGUCAAGUCUCUGAACAUGCAACAACUUUGAUAAAGGGUUGGGAGAUUAAGAGAACUUUAUUUUGCAGCACAUGAAAACUGAAAAUUCAAUAUCUGACAUUUUUAUUCUAAAACAUUUUCUUGCAUCAGCUACGUGUCUUUUUGCCAACUCUCUUUUUUCCUCUUCUUGCUCUCCAGACCAAAACUACCAAAAUUCCUCUGAGAAUAUCUUCCCUAAUUAAAAUAAUCAAAUUUGUAAGACUUAAUUGGUUAAAAUCUAAGAAUAGUAGUGAUCAGUUUGUCUCUAAUUAAUACAUUCCUUUUGGGGUGGAUCUUAUUCCUUCAUAAAGAUUCCAUAACAAAAUAAUGUUAUUCUGUAGAGAGCUUUCUGCACUGCCAAUUUGAGAAGGCAAUGCAGCUAUUCACAGAAGAUCUUUAAACAAGAGCAGUUUUUAUUACUUUGAAAUCACUUGCAGAUGUUAUUCACUAUCUUUGCAGUUGCCAUAAGAUCAAACUCAGAUAUGGCACUUGUUACAGCCAUCUGUUUAAUGCUUCAUUGAGAAACUUCAUCAUUCCAGCUUUUUCAGGAUUAUUUUUGUGAGCCCAAAUCUCUGCAAAGGUGAAUGUUUAAAACCUAAGUACUUACUUUUGGAGUUUAAAGUCUGUCUUCACUGCUAGAUGAGACAGUAAGCUAUGUGAGGGCAGGCAUCCUGGCUGUGUUGUUUCCUGCUGUUUGCACAUCCCUUGGCACAAUGUAUGCCACAUGAUAGAGUUUCAAUCAAUGUUGGUUGAAUGAAUGAAUGCAUGAACACAUUUUUAAGAUAUGGUACAUAAUAAAAAUGCAAAAAGGACCCUUAAUUUAUUUUUAGAUAAGGAAGCCAGGGCCUUAAUAACUGUUUAAAGUGCCCAGCUUUUAGAAAUCAAGACCAAAAUUUUAAUGAUUAUAAGAAAUUAUUUUGGAAAUGGUUGAGAUCUUUCUACUACUCAUGUCAGAAUAAUAACUUGGUGAACAAUAGUACUGGAGUAACCUGUUAUUAUUUGAAUAAAUGUAGAUAGAAUUUUUACAAGACCUUUCUGUUAGAUUUAAACACACAGCUGCCCCUCCCCACCCUCCCUCUGACUCCCUGUCAAAGGUCAAAGGCAGAUUAGCAUAGAGGUCUUGGGGGGAACUCUGAAUUCAGGCGGUCUGAGCUCAAAUCUUUACUCUGUACAUCCCGAAUCAUGUAUUCCUGGCAAUCUGAAUAACUCUGCUUCAGUUCCUCACUUGGAAAAUAGAGGUUGUAAUGUACCCGCAUCCUAGUGUUACUUUAUAUUUCUAUUCAACAGUGCCCUUUCUUUCCCUGCCCGCUUUGCUUUGCUUGCCUGCCUGCCUGCCUGCCUGCCUGCCUUCCUUCCUUCCUUCCUUCCUUCCUUCCUUCCUUCCUUCCUUCUUCCUUCCUUCCUUCCUCUCUUUCUUUCUCUCUCUCUUUCUCUGUUUAGCUUUCUUGCUUGCCAAAGUGGCAUCCCCUUAAUUGCUUCCUUUUUUCUAUAAUAAUAUCCUAAUCUACUUUAUAUGAAGUUGAAACAAAAUUGAUUCAACUUUUUCUUGGCCUUCAAAUGGGUGUUUCUAGCCCCCUCAAAGAAAAUGUAGUAAAUUUAAAUGAGCAGGGAAAUAUAAUGUUUAAACUAUGAUUUGGAUUAUCCUUUGUUUUCUAUAUGGAGCCCUUUUUCCCCCAAGCUGAGCAGCACUAUGGUAGCUAUCACAUUGUUAUCGCUACUGCUUUGUUUUAUUCAUUUUAAGACACAUAUGUUUUUCACAUUUCAACAUCUCUGAAACUGGGAUGCAUUGUAAAAUCUACAGAGCCUUGUAGCUACUGUCAGUCAUGCAUCAAAGAGACUUUGUCAUUCUUUGUGUGUGCAUGAAUUAAGUCCUGGCUGUACAUAUUGUCCUUUCACUGUACUUCUGUGCAUUGCCAAUACUACACAUUGUUUAAUCGUGAUUUAAAAUGUCUAAGCCUGGCACAAUGGCUCACGCCUAUAAUAACAAUGACUUGAGAGGCUGAGAAAGGAGAUUGUUUGAGGGUAGGACUUUGAGAGCAGCGUGAGCAACAUAGCAAGACUCCAUCUCUAAAAAUAUUUUUGAAACAUUAGCUGGUGUGGUGGUGCAUGCCUGUAGUCCUAGCUGCUCAAGAGGCUGAGGUGGGGGAUCACUUGAGCCCAGAAGUUCAAUGCUGCAGUGAGCCAUGAUGGUAUCACUACACUCCAGCCUGGAUAGACAGAGUGAGACCCCAAUAUUUAAAACUUUAAAAUAUAUUAAUCUAUGAUUUGGCAUUACAAUUAAAAGUUAUGUAGAAAAGCAAAGAAACUGCAGUAAGACUUUUUUUUUUUUGAGACGGAGUCUCACUCUGUCACCCAGGCUGGAGUGCAAUGCCGUGAUUUCAGCUCACUGCAACCUCCACCUCCCAGGUUCAAGCGAUUCUCAUGCCUCAGCCUCCUGAGUAGCUGGGAUUGUAGGCACCUGCCACCAUGCCUGACUAAUUUUUGUAUUUUUAGUAGAGAUGGGAUUUCACCAUGUUGGUUAGGCUGGUCUUGAACUCCUGACCUCAGGUUAUAUAUCCACCUCGGCCUCCCAAAGCGUUCAGAUUACAGGAACGAGCCACUGCAUCUGACCAUAAGACUCUUAAUGAAACAAAUAUUCAUUAUUGCAUGAAUAACCACAAUUCCAUUCUUUUAUUUGAAAACAAAUUCAAGUGUUUUGUGGAAACUGAUGGAGUUCAGAAAAUAUAUAAAAUAAUGCUGUAUCAUAUAACUGGUGUCAUCUUAUAUUCAUUGAAAUAAAGUAAAUUUUUAGAGGGCCCAAAAUUGCAAUACAUUUUAAAGGUAUAUUACUUAAGUGCUUCCCAUGUAUAACACAACAAAUAUGCUGGAUGUUGUAUGAGUCUCCUAAGGCUGCCACAAAAUCACCACAAACUAGGUCACUUAAAAUAACGGAAAUUUAUUGUCUUAACAGUUCUGGAGGCUAAAUGAUCAAAAUCAAUGUGUCAGCAGGGCCCUGCUCCCUCUAAAACCUGUAGGGGAAAAUCUUUCCUUGCUUGUUCCUAGAUUCUCAUGGUUACCAUCAAUUGUUGGCAUUCUUCAGUUUACAACUGCAUCACUCUAAUCUCUGCUUCUGUUGUCUCAUGGCAUUCUGCCUGUGUGUCUGUAUUUUGACGUCUUCUUUACCUCUUGUAAAGACCCCAGUUAUAUUGAAUUUGGGUCUAAUCCAAUGACUUUAUCUUAAUUUAAUUACUUCUGUAAAACUAAACUUUCCAAAUAAGAUCACAUUCACAAGUACCAUAAGUUAGGAGUUCAACAUGGUUUUUUUUUGACAGACACAAUUCAACCUCUUAACGGAUGCUAUUUUGGAAGAGAAAAGAUGACAUAAGUAUAUGUUCAGCCCAAAAAUUUAUUUCAUUCUGGUAGAAGAGAAUACACACACACACACACUCACACACACACACACAACCACGUGCAUGCAUACACAAACACACAACAGGACAAGCUGUAAAGAAAUAGCUAUCAUAAGAAAACGUAGGCAAAAAGCCAGAAGAGUUAAAAGGAAGAAAAUAUUACUUUAAUAGUACUUGUCUUCUAGUAACUUCCAUUCCAAACAAUGCAUAGAACCAUAAACAUGUUGGGACUUUGUCUACUAGCACAGCAGUGUUCAUUAAAUAAUUAACUAAUUCCAUUUCUUGAUGUUUAAUAUGUAAUAGUGCUAUGUUCUCCUCUAUAGAUAACCUAAGAACUUAUAUCUAGAUUUAUUUACAACUUCCAAUAAUGAUCACCGCUUCCCAUUUAACCUGUGAGGUUAGUCAUAAAAAGAUUAUUUUUAGUAUUUAAUAUAGAAAUGUUAAAUAUAAAGUAUGUAAGAAUAAAACAAUUCUAUUUUUUAAUAUUAACUUUACUCCAGGGACUUGAAAUAAAUAAUAUAUUUUCCUUUUUUAAAGGAAAUCAGUUACCUUUUUUAAAA
This 6327-nucleotide long non-coding RNA is filed under the name Homo sapiens (human). RNAcentral's name for it is "HSALNT0080351". Lineage: Eukaryota; Metazoa; Chordata; Mammalia; Primates; Hominidae. The record is from RNAcentral.